Molecule: long non-coding RNA, 2242 nt
Organism: Zonotrichia albicollis (white-throated sparrow)
Lineage: Eukaryota; Metazoa; Chordata; Aves; Passeriformes; Passerellidae
Source: Ensembl
AUGCUCAAGCAGUUUGUAAGCAGGAAGUUGGGGACACUGUGUGGCUACAGGAUCUGCUUUCUAAAUCCAGUGACAUUCAAGGAGUCUGCGGUUCCCUCAGUGUGCUUUCCACAGGGACACUUCAGUCAUUCCCAUAAGCUCAGAUCCUUCCAAGCAACUCAGAGGAAGCAAAGCUCCCCAGAAGGUCCCUGCUCAUCUCUUCAAGCAGACAUUGCAGAGAGAAAGCAACAGCUCAUCAAGCCAUAAUGUCAAGAAAAGAAAUGAACUAAACUAAUUCUCUUUUCCUCUUGCUAGCCCAGCAUUUAAUUUUUAACUUUUAGAGUCUAAACAUAGCAAUAUAGCACCUAACAGAAGGCUUCCUAAAUCUUAGGGAAUCUCUAUCCUUGUAUUUAAAGCCUAAAGGAUAUGCAAUGCCUAUUCUGACUAUCUUCAAAGUAAAUCAACAACUAAGCACGAUUCCUAUCCCAGUGUUGUUAGAAUGAGAAGCUGGAUUCACAAAAUGUUACGCUAUGGAAAUCUAGAGUAAGAGUGCAUUAAAUCUGAGUCUUGCCCAGUACACCAUCACUUUUCUGUCAGAUUCCCAUCCCAAUCUCUUUUUUACACUGUUUAUUUCAAAUGUAGCUCCCCUACAUCUUUUGGCUGGGAAAUGAAUACAUGCAAGACCCCAGACCUCAUGAUUCCAGCAACAUGAGGGAGCAGACAUUUAAAAACACAUUUAUCAUUUCAAGGAAGCCAUUCCAAGCUGCUUUUUCUGAGAAUGAUUGAAAGCAAUUUAGAAAAUGUGGGACACUAAAAUAAGAGGAAGAUAGAGACACAACUACUCGUAUGCUCCAAAAUUUGUUCAAGGAGAUCAGGAUAAUCAAGUAUAUAAGAGUAAUUUCCACAAACUGUAGACUCAAAUCAAAAUUCUUGGUUUUCCUCAAUUAAUGCAGCAAAAAGUUGUAAAGUGGCAAUUUAAGGGUUAACACAGCUCUGGCUGUUGUUCAUGCCCACUGUUGGAUAUAAGUGAAUACAAAAAUAACUCAUCAAUGGUUUGAAUUGGCAUUGGACUUUUAAAUCUGGUGGUUCUGAUUUUAAUUUAACAUAUCCUGUGGUGCAGUGUGUGAAAUAUGUACUUAACCCAGAUUGUUGUGAGAUGAAAGCACACUCGUGUUUAUUUUACAUUAUUUGCUGUAGUUUGUUGAAAGCCAACAUUCCUGGGCAGUGAAUGCAGCAGGGAUGAAUCAUUUGAACUAGGUGAGGGGUUAGCAGCUGGAAGAAAAUGAAAGUUAAAUAACUACGUUAAAUUUCAGCAAAAUGGGUUAAAAAAUGUAAUGCUAGAGAAACUUGUUAUCUCCAUUCUGAGACAAGGAAUUAUGGUACUUAUUUCAAUGGGUUUUCUACCAGAACUUCUAAUGUCAGCUGUGAUUAGAGGUAAUUAAUAUCACACAUUUCCUACCUUCAAAACUGAGGUGCUGAAGCAAAGUUAAGUACAAAUUGCUACCAAGAGCUGUAGCAAAUGCACUAAAUGACAGUAUAGCAUCAGGGAAUCAAUCCUAAUGAUUCAUAUCACCAUAGGAAUCUUAAUCAAGGAGCAGGACAUAACCAGAUGGAGUAUUGAAUGGUUAAAGAAAAAAGAUGGGCCCUGUGCUGGAGAGCUCAGCACUGAAGCAGAGGCCAAGGGGAAUGACAAAGGAGGCAAAGAGAAGGGGAAGCAGAACAAAAUGAUGGAGCAGCAGCACCAGAAAUGAGCCCAGCACAGGGGCAGUCCACAGUAAAGAUUUUCUGAGAGCUUGUAACAGUGAUUUUGACAGAAGACAAGAGAGUGGGUGUUUGUGCUGGGCCUGUCUCACACCUGAGUGUGGGAGUGAUGGGCAAAGGUGCCUGCCUGAAAAUCCAUCAAGCGGGCAAAUAACGCUUAUAUUAAGGGCUAGAUGAGAGCAGAAAUUUUAUCUGGGUAGUGAAUGAUGCACUUGAGCCUUGAAAGCAGAAGGAAGGGGCUUCUCCUGAGCAAAGCAGGGCAGAGGAAGGGGCCAGAGGCAGCAGCAGCAGCAGAGCAAAAGCCACCCCUGAGGAAAGGAUGCUCACAGCAAUGCUUGAGCUGGGUACAAGUUGGACCAGACAGUGCUUUUCAAGGCCAGAAAGAAAAAGAGGUGGGAGUAGCUGAGAUUCUAAAUGCCAGAAGCCUGCACAGGAAUUUCAGCUGAAAGGAGACGAAAGGCCAAAGAAUAAAGCUCGUAUUGAGGAAAAAAAAAUUAAAAAU